Molecule: ribosomal RNA, 500 nt
Filed under: uncultured bacterium
Lineage: Bacteria
Description: partial 16S ribosomal RNA
Rfam family: Bacterial small subunit ribosomal RNA
Source: RNAcentral
AUUGAACGCUGGCGGAAUGCUUUACACAUGCAAGUCGAACGGCAGCACGGACUUCGGUCUGGUGGCGAGUGGCGAACGGGUGAGUAAUGUAUCGGAACGUGCCCAGUCGUGGGGGAUAACGUAGUGAAAAUUACGCUAAUACCGCAUACGAUCUAUGGAUGAAAGCGGGGGAUCGCAAGACCUCGCGCGAUUGGCGCGGCCGAUAUCAGAUUAGGUAGUUGGUGGGGUAAAGGCCCACCAAGCCAACGAUCUGUAGCUGGUCUGAGAGGACGACCAGCCACACUGGAACUGAGACACGGUCCAGGCUCCUACGGGAGGCAGCAGUGGGGAAUUUUGGACAAUGGGCGAAAGCCUGAUCCAGCCAUUCCGCGUGCAGGAUGAAGGCCCUCGGGUUGUAAACUGCUUUUGUACAGAACGAAAAGGUUUCUACUAAUACUAGGAGCUCAUGACGGUACUGUAAGAAUAAGCACCGGCUAACUACGUGCCAGCCGCCGCAGUAA